RNAcentral lists this long non-coding RNA (283 nucleotides) under Elaeis guineensis (African oil palm). RNAcentral's name for it is "long non-coding RNA (EGUI_LNC060216)". The record is from RNAcentral. Lineage: Eukaryota; Viridiplantae; Streptophyta; Magnoliopsida; Arecales; Arecaceae.
UUAUCUGAUCAAUUUGAUGAAUUAUAUCUUGAUUAGACUACUAAGUGAUUCGAGUUGACCCAUGCCAUUAUGGUUGAUCAGUGUGACUGAUCUAAGUAUCAUUUCAAUCAGCAUGAUCCUAAUCUAAUUCAAUGACUUGAUGAAGUUAGUGGGAAGAUUGUGGUUUACUGGUUGAUCUUUUUUUUUCAAUUCAUAAAUUAAAUCUUUUAAAUUAUUAGAUCCCUAAAAUGAGCUAGUUAUGGAGAUAACUAGAUCAUAACCUCCCAUUAAGUUGGAUGAUAAU